CGUGCCGUCGCCCCGCCCCCUAGCGUCCGGGCGGAGCAUGCGCAGAAGGUCAGACACAGUGUCCGGUUUUCUCAGGGUACAAGUAGAGAAUUGACAGGUGCGUUAAAGCCGAAUCAGACGCCUUGCCUGCUUCCAAUAUAACUAAACUACACGGGAGAUAACCCACAAACUGCAAUCAUCCUGACUUGUUCUGAUUGCCAAAAUAAUAACUCCUUGACUAUUUCCUUGGACUCCCCUCAAGAUGAUUUCAUCCUGAAUAUUUGCCCUGCGGGUGUCUAUAGGUCACGACCUUUCUCCCCUGAGGAAGGACAAGAUGAGGCCCUGUUUCAUCCAUCUGAAUUUUAACUUGCCUGAGGUAUUCCUUCAUACCUGGCAUUUUCCUAGCAUCUGUGACCUACAUCAUCUGUUUACAGCAGCUGCCCAGCACAGAAGUCAAGAGCGAAGAGAAGAAGAGAGAUCGAGAAGGCCGACCUCCUCCGUGAGCCACCAGAGUCCACGUGGGACCCGCAGGCUCCUGUUCUGCAUGGGUUGCCCCUGCAGGACCAGCCCCAGCAAAGCUGAGCAGGUGAAGCCGGCCACCUGCCUCGCCCUGGGGUGCCCUGCGCUACCCAAGUGAUACUCUGGGCCUUGCCCCUCGCCCAGUGUCAUAAAAACUCCCCUACUGCCUUGCCUCAGGGCUCUUCCUUUCUAGUUCUCCCUUGAAGUGACCAUUAGAAGGAUUAGAAUCGUGACCAUUAGACCAUUAGAAUCUUCCCAAGUUAUGUAUCUACACAACAGGGGCCUUCUACAGACAACCAGAGCUCAGGCAGGCUGCAGGAGGCAAUAUUUAGGGGUAGGGGACUCUCUGAAAAUCCUUCUAAUAAAAUUGCUCGCAGCUGACACUCCGUCCUGGCUGGAGGCCACCACUAGGAAGAUGCUCGGAGAGUCGCAGCUUUAUGACCAAGAGGGGUCACUGCCCCCUCAUCUCCUAUUGCCUUGCACAGCCUAAGUCAAGACACUGAGAGUGGGAAUACAACCCAAACCCUUCUAGUCAAUAUCCCUGUUUAUAAAUCGGGAAAGCAAGGGAGAGAGAGGAAGGGACUUGCCCAAGGCCACGUGGCCGCUGAGGCCUAGGCCCCUCUGGCUCCACUCGCUGCCACCCACAGAGGGCUGCCCUGACACCCACCUGUGCUGCCUUGCGCUCUGGUUUACACAGGGCACCUUUCUGGAAGGCAGAGUAAGCUAAAAAUGCCUUGCUGUCAUGACCCCAGCAAAAAGUCACCCUCUCUCCACCUGUCUGGUGGCUACAGUCCCCUUGGUGCCAGGAAAGCCUGCAUUCUUGUCCAUUCAGCAACCCAGCAACUGCUCCGGCUGCCCACACCUCACACCCCAGCCAGACAACUGAGGCCUUGAGUUCUCCCCAAAGGCUGAGAACAUGUCGGGCAGAGUCAGAUGAGGCCCUAUACAUAGGGCUCCUUCACCCAGCGUCCACGCUGGUCAAAGUCUAAACAUACAAGCAACUAGAAUCCCACACCUUCCCUUAAAAAGUGGAUCUGAGCUCUGGACGCAGCUUUCCUCUUCUUCUGGGAGUCACUGGGCCCAUGUUCCUUCCACAGUGUUCCACCUACCACCAGCAGCAUCCCUUCUGGCCCCAGCGGGGCCACCUGCUCCAGGAAGGCCCCAGGCAUGACUAACAAGAUGCUCUGAGAGCACAGCUGAGUCAGACUCAGCCUCUCAGAGGGAUCUGCUCUCGUCAUCACAGGGAGGGACAACAGCCGCUCAUCACCGGGGCCACAAGGCGCCCUGUCCAGCUGAGCAACAGGAGGGCGGGGCUCGGGUCUUGAAGAGUCUAGAAUCUCAGGGGCAGAUACCUGGAUUGUCUGGGGCAACUGGACAGGCCUAAGGGGACUGUUAGGUCAGGCCCAUGCCCCCCUCCGCCCACCUCCGGCAGCUGUGUGAGAAGCCUAGCACUUGUGUACGGGGCAGGGUGUGAGGAUACAUUUGGAAAUGCAUUCACAUUCUGGUCUAUUGGUCCGUGGGAGGGAAGAAGGAAUCAAGAACAACCGUCAGGCCAGAGUUUGCCCCGGCCAGCAGCCGCUAUACCUGUCUGAUGCUCAGGAUACGCAGUGGCUCUCACCAGUGGUAAGUGGAGAGAACCCCCAACUCUGCGAGGCAGAGCUGUGCCUAAAUGCUUGGGGGUGAGCAGUGAGACCGCAUGGCCCUAGGCACCCUCCACCCUCUGGUCUUGUUCUCUGCACAUCCUGUCCCUUCUGACAGCCUCAUUCUGUGUCUGUCUGUCUGUCUGCCUGGCUGGGUGGUCUGCUCCAUGAGGGCCAGGACUGCCUGUCUCAUUCACAGAGCCCCUACUAUGUAAGAUUUCAAACAUGAAGUGAGAGAGGGGGGAAUGUCCAUGCCUGGGCCCGUUCCUAUAAGAGAAGAAAAUGUUGGGGUUCAGGGAGAUUGCAUCUGGAGUGCCAGGGGCACCAGGAAAGGGCAGGGGUGAGUUAAGGCCCAUGGCACAGGCCCAGCUGAUAACACACCCAGUCUCCACCAGUCCACCUGCUUAUUAGCCAGCUCUGUGACCUUAGGCAGAUCAUUCUGUGCCUCAAUUUGACUGUACAAUGGGGGUGGGGUGGGGCAAAAACACCUGCCUUAUUAUCAGCAUAAAAAUAAGAUAAUAGAGGUGAAAGUAUGCUGGAGAGGAUGAAAACUCUUCAAAUCUAAAUCAGCAUGGGAAAUACUACUGAGUAACAGCAAUAUUGAGAUUAACCUUUGCUGCUUGGGAAGCCUAGCGGCCAGAGGCCCAGGGCUCGUAGAGAGAGAGGAGGGCUGGCUCCCAGGGAGAAAAGCUGGAGGAGACGGAAGGUCCGACAGUUGGGCUCCCGGCCUGCCCUACCCUCUCACCAGAUCCUGCUCGGCCUGCUGGAGAGGCGUGGCCCUCCCUGGACGCACCCCACAAUUAGCGUCCCGGCCUUCACAAGGAAGCGAGGGGUCAGGGGUGAGGGAGGGGUGAGUACGUGGGUGUACUGGAGAGGAAGAGUGAUCUGCUACAUUCUGUUCCUCCUCUCUGAGCACGUGUGCACACGCGCGCACAUUCCCUCUCUGCUUUACCUCCUUUUAGGUAAGAGAGGGUUUUUUUUUAAAGGCCUCCUCUUAUAUUUUCUUCUCCCAGCAGUCCCACGAGUUUCUCCACCCGCCACAGCUGUCCUGAAGCCGGGACACCAACUGGGAGCCCCCCGAGCACGGCCUGGGCGGCUAGGACACGAGAGGAUGCCCCCCAGCACCCCCAUGCCUAGGCAGUCAGGGAGACAGAGGUGGUGUGGCCCUCAGAGCAAGAAGCCACCGUGACCUGGAGCCUUUCCCUCCUCCAUGGUGACCCAGCCCAGGUACCAGGGUCUCCAGAGCCCCGUCUGUGACUUCCUGCCCGUCCUGGACACUGUUUUCCUGGCAAAGCCUCUCCCAACAGGCUCGAAAGGCGUGUCCGAGGGACUGAGGCAGCUGGGAGGUUGUGGGGUGGUUCAAGGCAGAAGGGACAUCGAUGUGGCCCCAGAGAAGACAAGUAGGAAUGCUGACAAGGACACCAGCCCCGACCACGCUUGGCUUCCACGCUGUCUUUGCAGAGCCGGUCUUGCCCCCUGGUCUGAGAGGAUGGUGAAGGGCUGUGGCCGGCAGGCCGGUCUGGCCUUUGACCAAAACCCAGCAGACAAUGCGUUCAGGAGGGAAGCGAGCCCCUGGGAGUCCUGACUCACCAAGGCUGGGGCCUCAUGUCAUGAUUGCUCAGCUCUGGCAGCUUCUGUGCCCCGUGGUCCUGCAUCUCCACCCACAGGCAAGGGAACGGGCUGGGGCACCCUGCCACCUGCCCUACCCAGGCUCUCCCUGGAGGAGUGGGCUCUGCCCAGCUUCACCCCGUUGCUGCCACCCACCCCGUCGGGCCGAGGCCGUCUCCUUGGCCCUUGAGGCAGAGCUAUAGUUCGACUUGCUUUUCACUUAGAGCUGGACUGAGACCAUCACACCCACCUUACCCAUGGAGAAAUGGAAGCGGAGAACUGUUCCUUAACUUGCUCACGUUCACUCAGAAAGCUGAGGUACGAUCCCAGCUGUGCCGCCUCCUGUGAAGGGCUCUAAUUCUCUCCAGAAGCAGUUUGUGUGUGUGUCCAUGACCACAGGGAGAAGAGAGGUCUGGCAGUGCAGGGGUGUGGGAAGGAGGACUUGAGCGAGUACGGAGCCACACCAGCUGUCUAGUCCACCUCCAGGUAUGGGCCCAUGGCCUCCAGACGCCCUAGGGCCCGGCUGCUCAAUACCUACUCUGGGGUCAUCCUCAAGGCCAAGAGAUCCUUCUCCGGGCCAGACAGGGCACCUCGCCCCGCUGAGAGGAAGGAGGCCCUGGGGAGAGAGGGGGUUGCUGCAGGGCAGGGGAGGGAAGGACUGAAUGCUGACGGAGCUUGCUGGGACCAUUCUCAUCCCUGAGAAGAGACUGGAUUUCCUGGGAUCCGGCUGUGGCUCAGAAAGGGAUGGGCUCCCCUCCGAAGCCUCGGCCUCAGUGUUCUCUACGCAUCACCUGCCGCUUCUCUGAGGCCUCGGUUCAUGGUGAGGACCACCCAACAGGCUGAGACGUGCUGCAGGCAGAGAGGGACAGCAAGUGCAGCCAGGAGGCGAGGGUGGAGGAAGUUAGUCAGCUGGGCUGUGACAGUGCUCACAGACCACACUGGAGAGCCAAGGGUCGCCCCGGCCGGCCACUGACAGGGGCUCCAGACUCCAGCAGCCGCUCCGGCCCCUGUGGUCAGGGGGGUUAGGUUUGGAUGGCGGUCAGCCAUCUUGGCGCCCUGCCUGGACUCCAGAGACCAGCGGGACCGUUUGUCAGCCUCUCUGGGUCCACUCUGGAGCACAGCACCUCCUCCUCAGCUCUUGAGUUUGGGAGGGUGUCGCCUUCACUGCCAUGCCCCAACAGGGCUGGCCUGGGAACACAGCAUCCCGGUUAAUUCAUGUUAAUGAUAAGGCUCCCCAGGGACCAUCACGCCUGCCCCCCUGCCCGUAGGAACAGCCCUGGCCACACCCGACUGUUUAUCUCCUGUGCUCUGGGAAGAAAAGCAGGACGGCCCCUCCCCCGCACCCCUCC
Molecule: long non-coding RNA, 5095 nt
Organism: Neofelis nebulosa (Clouded leopard)
Lineage: Eukaryota; Metazoa; Chordata; Mammalia; Carnivora; Felidae
Exons: 3
Source: RefSeq, a predicted model, not a curated record